This 65-nucleotide transfer RNA is filed under the name Dicranocentrus wangi. RNAcentral describes it as "tRNA-Leu". Lineage: Eukaryota; Metazoa; Arthropoda; Collembola; Entomobryomorpha; Entomobryidae. The record is from RNAcentral.
UCUAAUGUGGCAGAUUAGUGCAAUGAAUUUAAGCUUCAAAAAUGAGACUUAAUUCUCUUUUAGAA